AAGAUCUGUGAUUGUGAAGGUAGCAGUCUCCAUGUGAGCUCAUUUUAUAGAGCAGUUAAGGUGGCGCACCCUCCUGAAAAGAAGGCAGCCAGGCAGGCUUACACUGUAAAGUUUACACUUCAUUCUCUCUUGAACCUUGGAAUUGUGAGAUUUAAAAGCAUUGGAUGCUGCUUCAGAAGGUAAGUUUCAGUCUGUGGUUACUUUGUAAAUAUUAGCUUAGGUUAUGCCCCCACCUCCCCCAAACAAAAAGAGCAUCCUACUACAUUUGGGCACAUUAAAAUCAAAAUUCUGAAAUAAACCAGUUUUGUUUCUGGAAUUGACUUUACCUUAAAGCACUGUCUCAUCUUCAGGAUAGCCUGCCUAAUUUGGACUUCUGUGAGGUCAGACAAUGUCACCACAAGAGUUGGAAACUGGCUGACUGACAGUGUGAUGACAUCUCAAGGGCUAGCUUUUACAUAGGUGAGAUGUACUUAAAUGUCAGGACUUAAAAGAAAUUUUAAUUACUUUUUAUUGAAAACUGCACUGAAUGCUAAAUGUUCACCUUUACAAUAAACAAAUACAGUAACGGUAACUCACACUAAAACAAAACAUACUUCUGAUAGCCAUUAUUUUCUGUUUGGGACAGUUUAAAGUUUUUCUUUUGUCACAAAAACAGGAAUGUACCUAUACAAAGGCUCAAAAUAGGCCAUCUUUAAAAACAAAAAGGCAAUGAUUCACAAAAGACUAUGAAUAGAACAUGUAACUAGCUGAUACAAAUCUAAUAGGAUUUGUUAAAAUCAGUCACAUCUAAUAGCACAUCUGAAGUGUUCUUGUAUAAAAUAUCACGUGAAGAAAAGAAUUUAUCAAUGUCUAAAAAAGUGGGUUUGUUCAUAGACAAUCUGACAAGUUACCAUAAAAAGUGUUUCCUGAGACAUAAGGAAAUGCAACAUUAUUCUUCUUGAACCCUUCUCGUCCAAGACUUUCCACUCAAUAAAAUAGCUGAGGAUCUGAAACUGAGAAAAUAUAUUUGAGUACAAACAGCUUGUGAAACUUAAUACUUUUUUCUUUUGUUCUUUUCCUUUUUUUGUUUUUUUUUUUUGUUUGUUUGUUGUUUUUGUUUUGUGUCAUCAGAGGGUUUUACUGAACUCACAACCGACUUUGCUGCUCAGAUGUGAAACCUUCUGUACAGGAGCUUUUACCUCUUCAAUCCUGUGCGCGGAGAUGUCUACACCAGCAAACAAUGUCCUCCCCAUCUUGUCUUAUUUUUAAUCUUCCUAUCAGCAAAGGAGGCACCAGCCCCUGAAGACCAAAGGGACUAGCCUUGAUGGGGAUUUCCUCUCAAUUUUUUUAUUGAUAUUCGGAGCUCUUGAUGCAACAUUCUACAACAAGCUGCGCAGGACCUGCUGUGCCCAGGGGAUUGAUUGAUAAAGGAAAAGCUCUAUUCUUUGUGAUUUGAUGCACAGAUGAAAAACUUAACACACAAUAACAGAAGUUGGUCGUUAAUAAUCACGUCCUAGUCUUUCCACACUUCUGGAAGCAGAUACCAUCUUGUUUUCUAGCUUUUGUAGCUUUCACACUGCAGUAUCAGUGAUGUCCAGGAUCAGUUUAAAAGACCAUCAAAUUCAUCCGUUUUCUACUGUCUCUUGGUCCCAAGUUUAUCUGAAUGAUUACCUUCACGUAUUCUCUGCUAUUGCUCGUUGGGGUGCUCUCGAUUGUCCCCGUGUUUUGUGGGCUGGUUUGGGGAGGGAGCUUGGGAAGGGUGUGCCACAGUGGGGAGGUUGUGAGUCACAGGGAUGCCUCCAGGGAUGAUCCCUUCCAUAGCUGGAGGAAGCCCUCCUGGAGCCACACCUACAAUGCCUGGUGGAUACCUAUG
RNAcentral lists this long non-coding RNA (1852 nucleotides) under Rattus norvegicus (Norway rat). RNAcentral's name for it is "long non-coding RNA NONRATT001295". Lineage: Eukaryota; Metazoa; Chordata; Mammalia; Rodentia; Muridae. The record is from RNAcentral.